AGUGGACGGAACGCUUCUUUCAACAGCAGCAACAGUUAGUUAGCCACCUCGGUAGUUUACUAGCCUAAAUAGCCGAACCAAUAAAGCUCUUUAGACGCUUUUAUGUAUAUUAGCCACUGUGUUUUCAACCAUCUUCUGUCGUCUAGUUAGUUAUCAGAUUUCAUUAUAUAUUUACGGUGUUGUUGUUUUUAGUCAGUUAGCGGGCUGGUUAAAUUAGCAUUAUCCUAGAUAACUAGCAUUCCCGACCAUGCGGUCACUAAGCUACUCUCCUCCUGCUAAAGAAGAGGAGGAUGUCACAGUAAAACAAGAAGUAGAGGGUGAGGCCGUUACUGUGAAAUAAGAAAAAGACUCGUUCAGAGUGAAAGAGGAGGAGGAUGUUACAGUAAAAGGAGAGGAGGAUGCAGUUUAUGGAGUGAAAGAGGAGGGGGAGAUGACUGUUACAUCGAAAAAGGAGGAGGAAGAAGAGGAGGAAACUGGAUAUCUGUGCUCGAUUUCCCAAAUGCAUCUUAAGGUGUCCGAUGGUUCUAACGGUGAACUUAGCCAUAAAAUGGUUUUGAGAAACUGUUCCCUGAUUAACACUAACACACAAAUGACUUGAAGUCAUAACUAGGGGGGAGCCAAGCAUCACUAUAACCUAACCAGAGGGAGCCGGUCAUCAACGUAACCUGGCCAGAGGGAGCCGGUCGUCAACGUAACCUGGCCAGAGGGAGCCGGUCGUCAACGUAACCUGACCAGAAGGAGCCAGUCAUCAACGUAACCUGACCAGAGGGAGCCAGUCGUCAACGUAACCCGACCAGAGGGAGCCGGAGAGAGAAGUGACUAUUAUGGAACCUCUGGGAAGCCUCAACAACAUCAUGAAGCUGAAGAGGCAGAGAAGAGUCUCUGCAGAUCAGGACACCUCAAGAAACACCAUCAGAGACCCACAGGAAAGAAAUCUCACUGCUGCUCUCACUGUGGGAAACGUUUCAAAUCUUCAGAACUUAAAAAACACCAGCAAAUACACACAGGAGAGAAGCCUUAUAGCUGUAAUCAAUGUGGGAAGAGUUUUACUCAGUCAAGCAAGCUGGUAUCAUACCAGAGAACACACACAGGAGAGUAGACAUAUAGCUGUGAGCAAUGUGGGAAAAGCUUUUCUCGGAUAGACCACCUUAAAGGACACCAGAGGACACACACAGGAUAUAAAUCUUACAGCUGUAAUCAGUCGAUGAAGAGUUUUAUUCAGUCAAACAGCCUGAAUCGACACCAGAGAACACACACAGGAGAGAAAUCUUAUAGCUGUGAUCAAUGUGGGAAAAGCUUUGGUUGAACUUAUUAUCUGACUGAACAUAAGCAAACACACCCAUGAGAGAAACCUUACCACUGCUCUGACGGUGGGAAGAGCUUUGCUUCCCUGAGGAACCUGACACAACACCAGAUGUGUCCUCUUUGGACACAUGGAAAAAAGUAGGAGCAGACAUUUCUGAACUCUUAACCAACAGGCCUUUACACCUAUGAAUGAGUAUCAAUAAUGAGACACUAUUUCUGAGGCUACAUGAUGUAUCGUUUAGCAGAUUUACUUUGUAAUAUUAUUUUUGUUUGUUCUUAUCACUUAAUUUACUUGACAGAUUGCCAAUAGUCUUAAUUAAAACGUAUGUUCUUCUGUUUAAGCUAUUCUGAUGUUAAUUUACUUCUGUGUUUUGGGUCGUUGUCCUGUUGCAUCACCCAACUUGACCUUCAAUGGGCGGACAGAUAGCCUUACAUUCUCCUGUAAAAUAUCUUGAUAAACUCGGGAAUUCAUUUUUCCCUAGAUGAUAGCAAGCUGUCCAGGCCCUGAGGCAGCAAAGCAGCCACAAACCAUGAUGCUCCCUCCACCAUACUUUACAGUUGGGAGGAGGUUUUGAUGUUGGUGUGCUAUGCCUUUUUUUCCCCCACACAUAGUGUUGUGUUUUCCUUCCAAACAACUAAACUUUAGUUUAAUGUAUCCACAGAAUAUUUUGCCAGUGGAGCUGUGGAACAUCCAGGUGCACUUUUGCAAACUUCAGACUUGCAGCAAUGUUUUUUUUGGACAGCAGUGGCUUCUUCCUUGGUGUCCUACCAUGAACACACUUCUUGUUUAAUGUUUUACGUAUUGUAGACUCGUCAACAGAGAUGUUAGCAUGUUCCAGAGAUAUCUGUAAGUCUUUAGCUGACACUCUAGGAUUCUUCUUAACCUCAUUGAGCAUUCUGUGCUGUGCUCUUGUAGUCAUCUUUGCAGGAUAGUAGUGACUAGUAGUGACUAGUAGUGACUAGGGAGAGUAGCAACAGUGCUGAACUUUAUCCAUUUAUAGACAUUUUGUCUUACCAUGGACUGAUGAACAUCAAGGCUUUUAGAGAUACUUCUGUAACCCUUUCCAGCUUUAUGCAAGGCAACAAGAGAUCUCUUUUGUUCGAGGCAUGGUUCACAUCAGGCAAUGCUUCUUGUGAAUAGCAAAUUCACAUUUUGUGAGUAUUUUUUAUAGGGCAAGGCAGCUGUAACCAACAUCUCCAAUCUCGUCUUGAUUGGACUCCAUGUAAGCUCACUCCAGACUCCAAUUAGCUUUCAAUAUAGACAAGAAAAAUACAAUAGUGUGUGAAUUAUUAGUUGAAGCACACUAUGUUUGUCCAUUGUUGUCAUGAAGAUCAGAUCAAAUGUGAAAUCCAGGUCAUUCCAAAGGGUUCACAUACUUUUUCUUGCCACUGUAGAUGUCAUGUAUUGUCAUGUUAUGCUCUCUAUAAUGAAACAUCACCAAGUGAAAUAAAGUUGAUAAGAUACUCUUAGUAGUCAUUAAAUAAAAAAUGGUU
Long non-coding RNA from Oncorhynchus kisutch (coho salmon), 2799 nucleotides. RefSeq lists it as uncharacterized. The transcript is spliced from 3 exons. NCBI's taxonomy places the organism in Eukaryota, Metazoa, Chordata, Actinopteri, Salmoniformes, Salmonidae. The record is from RefSeq and is a predicted model, not a curated record.